GGGCAGACUGACCUUCGGCCACUAAAGUGAUCAUAACUUCUUCUACAAAAUAGGUAUUAACGAUCCGUAAAAAGUUCUAGAAAGUAGACUCUUGUAGCUUUCUAUUGAUAUAUAACUCAUUGUCUAGAUCGUUGUGAGCUGAUCACAAUCCUCUGUCGAAGUUAGAUGAUAAUUUCUGGCAAAUCUCAUAAUUCUUUCCUUACACGACAUGAAUUCCUAAUCCUUCAAGAUUUCUCCUCUUUUGCUUCAUAUUCCUUUCUUUGCUCCGAAACACCUAAUAAACAUAAAAAUAACUAAAUCAAAUGGAAAAUACGAUAAACUAAUAAAGUAAAGAGGGGAAUUAACCAUCAUAUCGUCGCAUAAUUAUGCUCCUAUCAUCUUGGAGCCUUCGUGCUCCCCAAAUCACAACAUCUCCCAAUUUAUUUACUCACUUUAAGAAGAAAAACUCACAAUCAACAAUCACAGGUUCAGAGCAAUUAUAUUAGAGGAGAAAAGAACUAGAAAUAUAUAUAUGAGCGGAAACUAUACUAUUGACUAUGCCUAAUCUCCAUGUACCCCUGACCUCAACUAUGUAAUCCUGCAAACUGGGCAUUUUUAAAACGAAUAGCCUAGGGGAAAACAUUUGAAACCGUUAAAAUGAGUGGACAAAAAUAAAUUAAUAAAUAAAUAUUUAUGUAUUCCCAUUUUAAUUUUCCAUAGAAAUUAUGUUGCAUGCAACAGCUCAAAGCUUUCUACUCACAAACUGGCAAAUACAUGACUAGCUCCGGCCAGUCUCUAAAACUCAAUAAAAUGGAUCCUCUCAAGCUAAACUAUAUAUAAAUAUAUAUGUGUAUGUAUUUACACUCGUCAGACUCCUUAUACGAAUUCUAUGAACAAAUUAGAAAAAUAGAAAUUCGUACAAGGCUACUACGGUUGCGUCUAACGCUCACGUCGCGCCAUAAUGGAAUUUUUUCUCAUUAUGACCGAAGAGGACAGGUAUAUAUACGUGUGGACCCCCUAUAUGAAAACCUAUAUGAACAAAAUAAGAAAGUAGUUUUCAUAUAGGGCUAUGACGCUUGUAUCCAACACUCGCGUCGCGCCAUAAUAGAAUUUUACCUUAUUAUGACCGACCAAGCACGUAUGGUUAGCUAGCAUUUAUAUACAUACUAUCCUCAAAAACAUCCAUUAUACAUAUCCAUCGAAAAUCUCAUUUUCGGUAACUCUCCAAAAGAUGAAAAUUGCCAAAUAUCAGAGAAAGCAAUAAAUUUCAGCAGAAGAAUAACUGAUCAACAAUGUAAUGCAUCGCAUGCUUUUAAUUAAAACAAAAGUCCACGUACUCACAACUUUAGGCAUAAGCCCGACGAAAUCCAAUUCGCCACUUAAGUGAGAUCUCCUUGAAUCCUCACACAAUAACCAUGCUUAGGACCAAACUUCAAUUUCAGAAAAAAUAAUACUUAAACAAAUAACCCAAAACUCUUCCGCCUAACCCACUACCCUCUCUAGGGUUAAGCUUAUCGGAUUCACGCCGAACUCCAACCACAGCCUCAUUUCAUUUAUGUCAACAUUCUAAAACAAUACUAAGGGAAAUCCAAUGGUGGGAUUCUACCCCAUUAACCGCCAAAUUCACCAAUCUUUGUAAAAUUCCAAACCUAAUCAAAACUCCUCCAAAAAAUUCCAAACUUUACAACAUUAGACUCCCCUUAAUAUAACAAAUUUAAAUACAUGAAAAUCCCCCUAACAGCGGCAGCCGGAGGCAGACUCCGGCGACCUCCAAUGCCUACCAAAAUUUGACAGCAUCUUCCUCUCAACUCACUCUACAAUUUUCCUAACUAGCACAAACAUCAAUUCCAAGCCUAACUAGGCCAAUCGAACGAAAACAUAGAAUUGAGCCCUAGAACUUCUACUCACCAAUUCUCCUCACCUGAAAGGAAACUGGAUUGAGUCCUUUUAGGGCAAGGCUACUGGGUUAAAGACCUUCAAAAGCAUAUAAGGCUUGCCCGGAUUGGUGGCUGGAGGAGGAAGUUUCGGCGACGGAACACAAUGAACCACCGGAGCUCUCGAGCGCGAUUACUCCCUCACGGCGGCGCUAGAGAGGCUGACACGAGUCCAGGAAGGAGGAGGAGGUGAUGGCCGACCGUUUGGGACCGGGGUGGCCGUCUACGGUGGCCGGACGGCGGCAGACUGCUGCUUUGAAAUUCCGGCAGGGAGAGAGGGAGGGAAUCGGGAGAGAGAGAGAGGAAAAAGAGGGAGAGAGUGUUAGGCAUUUCUCCUCCCAACUGGUCCUAACCCACCAAAUAAAACCAACUCCAAAAAUUAUGUCACAUCCCGACCCUUAUAUUUUUACCUUAUUUACUAGCGUGAUUAUAAUAAGAAUUUUACCGUCUCCGUCAUUGAGUAAAUAGUUUAAUUGGUCCCUAGAGGGGUUUCGGGGACGAUUAUGUGCGGAGGAUUAUUCGUAUGAGGAAAAUACGACGACGGUAAAAAUAGUAAAUUUUAGCUAGUAAAAGGUAAUUUUUAUUCGGGUAUUAUUUUUCGGGGUGUUGAAUUUGGAAUUUUGGGUUAAAAGGAGAGUUGGGUCGGCUGGGCCGAGCCCAACCC
This 2577-nucleotide long non-coding RNA is filed under the name Fragaria vesca (wild strawberry). RNAcentral's name for it is "long non-coding RNA (FVES_LNC004108)". The record is from RNAcentral. Lineage: Eukaryota; Viridiplantae; Streptophyta; Magnoliopsida; Rosales; Rosaceae.